Long non-coding RNA from Pezoporus flaviventris, 232 nucleotides. RefSeq lists it as uncharacterized. The record is from RefSeq and is a predicted model, not a curated record. The transcript has 3 exons. Lineage: Eukaryota; Metazoa; Chordata; Aves; Psittaciformes; Psittacidae.
UUAAAGAUCACUGAGGCAGCCAAAGUAAAGGGCAGAUGCUGUCACUACACCCGGCUGGGAUAUUUUCGGUUGAAAUACCUAAGGAGAAAUGAGAACAGUUUUGGUACUGCCUCUUCACGGAAUUCUCCUAAACUGCUGUGGAGAACAAAACAUACUGAUUUACUGGUGCUGCAGAUAGCUGCAGGUCUGGAGCCAACCGAUCCUAUGGUGUUGUUCAGCUCCUUGUAAAGGG